AAAUUGAAGAGUUUGAUCAUGGCUCAGAUUGAACGCUGGCGGCAGGCCUAACACAUGCAAGUCGAACGGUAACAGGAAACAGCUUGCUGUUUCGCUGACGAGUGGCGGACGGGUGAGUAAUGUCUGGGAAACUGCCUGAUGGAGGGGGAUAACUACUGGAAACGGUAGCUAAUACCGCAUAACGUCGCAAGACCAAAGAGGGGGACCUUCGGGCCUCUUGCCAUCGGAUGUGCCCAGAUGGGAUUAGCUAGUAGGUGGGGUAACGGCUCACCUAGGCGACGAUCCCUAGCUGGUCUGAGAGGAUGACCAGCCACACUGGAACUGAGACACGGUCCAGACUCCUACGGGAGGCAGCAGUGGGGAAUAUUGCACAAUGGGCGCAAGCCUGAUGCAGCCAUGCCGCGUGUAUGAAGAAGGCCUUCGGGUUGUAAAGUACUUUCAGCGGGGAGGAAGGGAGUAAAGUUAAUACCUUUACUCAUUGACGUUACCCGCAGAAGAAGCACCGGCUAACUCCGUGCCAGCAGCCGCGGUAAUACGGAGGGUGCAAGCGUUAAUCGGAAUUACUGGGCGUAAAGCGCACGCAGGCGGUUUGUUAAGUCAGAUGUGAAAUCCCCGGGCUCAACCUGGGAACUGCAUCUGAUACUGGCAAGCUUGAGUCUCGUAGAGGGGGGUAGAAUUCCAGGUGUAGCGGUGAAAUGCGUAGAGAUCUGGAGGAAUACCGGUGGCGAAGGCGGCCCCCUGGACGAAGACUGACGCUCAGGUGCGAAAGCGUGGGGAGCAAACAGGAUUAGAUACCCUGGUAGUCCACGCCGUAAACGAUGUCGACUUGGAGGUUGUGCCCUUGAGGCGUGGCUUCCGGAGCUAACGCGUUAAGUCGACCGCCUGGGGAGUACGGCCGCAAGGUUAAAACUCAAAUGAAUUGACGGGGGCCCGCACAAGCGGUGGAGCAUGUGGUUUAAUUCGAUGCAACGCGAAGAACCUUACCUGGUCUUGACAUCCACAGAACUUUCCAGAGAUGGAUUGGUGCCUUCGGGAACUGUGAGACAGGUGCUGCAUGGCUGUCGUCAGCUCGUGUUGUGAAAUGUUGGGUUAAGUCCCGCAACGAGCGCAACCCUUAUCCUUUGUUGCCAGCGGUCCGGCCGGGAACUCAAAGGAGACUGCCAGUGAUAAACUGGAGGAAGGUGGGGAUGACG
This 1193-nucleotide ribosomal RNA is filed under the name Escherichia coli. RNAcentral describes it as "bacterial SSU rRNA". It matches the Rfam family "Bacterial small subunit ribosomal RNA", at positions 1 to 1184 of the family's 1533-position model. Lineage: Bacteria; Pseudomonadati; Pseudomonadota; Gammaproteobacteria; Enterobacterales; Enterobacteriaceae. The record is from RNAcentral.